GACGAACGCUGGCGGCGUGCUUAACACAUGCAAGUCGAACGAGAAGAGAUGAGAAGCUUGCUUCUUAUUGAUUCGAGUGGCAAACGGGUGAGUAACGCGUAAGCAACCUGCCCUUCAGAUGGGGACAACAGCUGGAAACGGCUGCUAAUACCGAAUACGUUCUUUUGUCGCAUGGCAGAGGGAAGAAAGGGAGGCUCUUCGGAGCUUUCGCUGAAGGAGGGGCUUGCGUCUGAUUAGCUAGUUGGAGGGGUUAACGGCCCACCAAGGCGACGAUCAGUAGCCGGUCUGAGAGGAUGAACGGCCACAUUGGGACUGAGAUACGGCCCAGACUCCUACGGGAGGCAGCAGUC
This 350-nucleotide ribosomal RNA is filed under the name uncultured bacterium. RNAcentral describes it as "bacterial SSU rRNA". It matches the Rfam family "Bacterial small subunit ribosomal RNA", at positions 28 to 356 of the family's 1533-position model. The record is from RNAcentral.